UACGGGGGGAGCAAGCGUUGUUCGGAUUUACUGGGCGUAAAGGGCGCGUAGGCGGCCACCGCAGGUCAGUUGUGAAAUCUCUGGGCUUAACCCAGAAAGGUCAACUGAUACUGCGGGGCUAGAGUGCAGAAGGGGCAACUGGAAUUCUCGGUGUAGCGGUGAAAUGCGUAGAUAUCGAGAGGAACACCUGCGGCGAAGGCGGGUUGCUGGGCUGACACUGACGCUGAAGCGCGAAGGCUAGGGGAGCGAACGGG
RNAcentral lists this ribosomal RNA (254 nucleotides) under uncultured bacterium. RNAcentral's name for it is "partial 16S ribosomal RNA". It matches the Rfam family "Bacterial small subunit ribosomal RNA", at positions 524 to 776 of the family's 1533-position model. The record is from RNAcentral.